GAUGAAUGCUGGCGGCGUGCCUAACACAUGCAAGUCGAGCGGCAGCGCGAGUAGUUUACUACUUGGCGGCGAGCGGCGGACGGCUGAGUAACACGUGGGAGCGUGCCCCAGAGUGAGGGAUAACGCACCGAAAGGUGUGCUAAUACCGCAUAUGGUCUUCGGAUUAAAGAAUUUAUUCGCUUUGGGAGCGGCCCGCGUCGGAUUAGGUAGUUGGUAGGGUAAUGGCCUACCAAGCCGACGAUCCGUAGCUGGUCUGAGAGGAUGAUCAGCCAGACUGGAACUGAGACACGGUCCAGACUCCUACGGGAGGCAGCAGUGAGGAAUCUUCCACAAUGGGCGAGAGCCUGAUGGAGCAACGCCGCGUGCAGGAUGAAGGCCUUCGGGUUGUAAACUGCUUUUAUAAGUGAAGAAUAUGACGGUAACUUAUGAAUAAGCACCGGCUAACUACGUGCCAGCCGCCGCCGUAA
This 467-nucleotide ribosomal RNA is filed under the name uncultured bacterium. RNAcentral describes it as "partial 16S ribosomal RNA". It matches the Rfam family "Bacterial small subunit ribosomal RNA", at positions 28 to 523 of the family's 1533-position model. The record is from RNAcentral.